RNAcentral lists this ribosomal RNA (448 nucleotides) under uncultured Planctomycetota bacterium. RNAcentral's name for it is "bacterial SSU rRNA". It matches the Rfam family "Bacterial small subunit ribosomal RNA", at positions 217 to 656 of the family's 1533-position model. Lineage: Bacteria; Pseudomonadati; Planctomycetota. The record is from RNAcentral.
GCUUAGAGAGGGGUCAAUGUCCUAUCAGCUAGUUGGUAGGGUAAUGGCCUACCAAGGCUAAGACGGGUAGCCGGCCUGAGAGGGUGGUCGGCCACACUGGGACUGAGACACUGCCCAGACUCCUACGGGAGGCUGCAGUCGAGAAUCUUUCGCAAUGCCCGAAAGGGUGACGAAGCGACGCCGCGUGUGGGGAGAAGGCCUUCGGGUUGUAAACCACUGUCGGGAGUUAAGAAAUGUAAGGGUGUUAAUAGCAUCCUUACUUGACUAAGGCUCCGGAGGAAGCCACGGCUAACUCUGUGCCAGCAGCCGCGGUAAUACAGAGGCGGCAAGCGUUGUUCGGAAUUAUUGGGCGUAAAGAGCACGUAGGCGGCCUUGUAAGUCAGUUGUGAAAGCCUUCUGCUUAACGGAAGAACAGCAUCUGAUACUGCAAGGCUAGAGUACGGAAGGG